This 1310-nucleotide unclassified non-coding RNA is filed under the name Leishmania donovani. RNAcentral's name for it is "gene:LdHU3.23.2460(CDS-product:hypothetical_prote in_conserved)". The record is from RNAcentral. Lineage: Eukaryota; Euglenozoa; Kinetoplastea; Trypanosomatida; Trypanosomatidae.
GUCAUACAGCCACCGUUGUAUAUUGUCUCCGUCUUCUGCUUCCAUAGACUCUCCCAUACACGUCGAUAGACAUACAGGCACAGCUGCCUUGCCGUCGCGCUUCGCACACUCGCGCAGGCAAGCAUGGAGAUAUUAAAGAAGACAGCUGCCUUCCGGGUUCAGAAACAAGUGGAGGGGCGACCCGCUGAGGAGGUCACGCAGCUCUCUCUGAGCGGCGUACCGGCGCUCCCAGAGCUGUGGUCUCCCUACACUCACCUCACUCACCUUCUGCUGAUCUGCAUGAAACCGAAGCUCGUGAGCCUCGACAUCCUUGGCCUCAACAAGCUUCAGGCACUUCGCCUUCUGGAUGUUAGCGACAACGCCGUUGCUGUUACUUCACCACCGCCGGCUGUGCCGUCGCUAGUUCGUCUGCUCAUGCCCAACAAUCAAGUGUCCUCCUUGGAGGAGGUGAGCCGGUUGGCGCAGAGCUUUCCGAACUUGGAAGUGCUGGACGUGGUGGACAACGAUGUUGACACCCCUGCGCACUUCGCCUCCGUUUUCGGGGCAUUUCCGAAGCUGGUCGCCCUCAACUCGCGUACGCGCGACGGGACCGAGGUCGUGGUCGAAGACUCGGACGAGACGGACAGCGACGAGGAGUGCGAGGAUAGCAGCGAUGAAGAGAGUGACGACGAGGUGGGGCAGACGGGAUCGUCCGGAAGCACCGGCAGUGAGACUGAAGAGGAGUCGGAGGGCGACGCGGAGCCGACGGCGAAGAGAACGCGCACGGAGGACGAAAAGGACGGCUGAAGCGAGCCGAGAACCACCUCGUCAAAGUAAAUUCUUGGAGCGUGACGCGUGUGCCUGUCCGCCAUCUUCGCAGUUUCCCUAGGAGCCGGCACGUGUAUCUGUCUGCGUAUAUGUGUCACAGUGUCUCCACCAUGACAACCUGAGAAGGAAUGAGCCAGCGCGCGAGGGCUCGCGUGCGCUCAAGAGAGCCUUUCACGGUAUUGCUUCUAAAGCCGUAAUGGUGCACCUCGUCGAGGAUUUUGAAUCAACCAUGGCGCACACAUCGUCACAGAGGUCUCCGACUCGACUGCGAUGGAAGACAUAUUUUCGGACACUACGUUGGUAUGCCCGUCUCUGUGUGGUGCCAUCACGUCCUUUCCCGCACCGUCACCUUCGCCACACCUGUCUCUUUCUCUGCCUUCUCGCCCGCUCCUCGUUUCCGCCGCUCUCACUCGAAUGUGCACCUGCGCACGUUGCACCACACAUACAUGGGCACGCUCAAACCCCUUGCGGCCUGUUCCGCUUAUUCGCCCGGUGCUGCUCAG